RNAcentral lists this unclassified non-coding RNA (157 nucleotides) under Alternaria armoraciae. Its description in RNAcentral is "partial internal transcribed spacer 2". Lineage: Eukaryota; Fungi; Ascomycota; Dothideomycetes; Pleosporales; Pleosporaceae. The record is from RNAcentral.
GUACCCUCAAGCUUUGCUUGGUGUUGGGCGUCUUUUGUCUCCAGCUCGCUGGAGACUCGCCUUAAAGUCAUUGGCAGCCGGCCUACUGGUUUCGGAGCGCAGCACAAGUCGCGCUCUUGCCCAGCCAAGGUCAGCGUCCAGCAAGCCUUUUUUCAAA